This 331-nucleotide ribosomal RNA is filed under the name Hieroglyphus annulicornis. Its description in RNAcentral is "partial 12S ribosomal RNA". Lineage: Eukaryota; Metazoa; Arthropoda; Insecta; Orthoptera; Acrididae. The record is from RNAcentral.
AUUAGUUAAGGUCUUAAAACCCAAAGAAUUUGGCGGUAUCUCAUUCCAUUUAGAGGAACCUGUCUCUUAAUUGACAAUACACGAUUAACUUUACUUAAUUUAUUUGUUUGUAUAUCUCCGUUAUCAGAUGAUCUUUUUAGAGUUAUAAUUUUCUUAAUUUAUAAUUGUAAAAUAUUUCAGGUCAAGGUGCAGCUUAUAAUUAAGAUGAGUUGGGUUACAAUAGAUUUUUGUUUAUAUGGAUUUGAUUAUGAAAAAUGAUUAAUGAAGGUGGAUUUGAUAGUAAUUUAAUUUAUUUAAUUUAAUUGAUAUUGGCUCUGAGGUGUGUACACAU